Molecule: ribosomal RNA, 460 nt
Filed under: gamma proteobacterium LF1-54B1
Lineage: Bacteria; Pseudomonadati; Pseudomonadota; Gammaproteobacteria
Description: bacterial SSU rRNA
Rfam family: Bacterial small subunit ribosomal RNA
Source: RNAcentral
AAUGCCUAGGAAUCUGCCUGGUAGUGGGGGACAACGUUUCGAAAGGAACGCUAAUACCGCAUACGUCCUACGGGAGAAAGCAGGGGACCUUCGGGCUUGCGCUAUCAGAUGAGCCUAGGUCGGAUUAGCUAGUUGGUGAGGUAAUGGCUCACCAAGGCUACGAUCCGUAACUGGUCUGAGAGGAUGAUCAGUCACACUGGAACUGAGACACGGUCCAGACUCCUACGGGAGGCAGCAGUGGGGAAUAUUGGACAAUGGGCGAACGUGAUCCAGCCAUGCCGCGUGUGUGAAGAAGGUCUUCGGAUUGUAAAGCACUUUAAGUUGGGAGGAAGGGUUGUAGAUUAAUACUCUGCAAUUUUGACGUUACCGACAGAAUAAGCACCGGCUAACUCUGUGCCAGCAGCCGCGGUAAUACAGAGGGUGCAAGCGUUAAUCGGAAUUACUGGGCGUAAAGCGCGCG